CUAACUCAAAUUUGUAUGGAACGUUUACCUACGUUUGCCGCUAAGGGCGCUGUUACAACUGCAUACAAAUUUGAGUUA
Molecule: microRNA precursor, 78 nt
Filed under: Bombyx mori (domestic silkworm)
Lineage: Eukaryota; Metazoa; Arthropoda; Insecta; Lepidoptera; Bombycidae
Description: mir-2807 microRNA precursor family
Rfam family: mir-2807 microRNA precursor family
Source: Rfam by way of RNAcentral